Non-coding RNA from Pelobates cultripes (western spadefoot toad), 210 nucleotides. Lineage: Eukaryota; Metazoa; Chordata; Amphibia; Anura; Pelobatidae. The record is from the annotation of a GenBank genome assembly.
GUUUGCUGUGAACAGGGGCGCUGUACGAAUACUAGCGUUGCCCUCAAAUUGUAAUUCCAAAUGUUACCGGUGCCUCUGCGCUGCUUCUCCUCGCACUAGGACGCCAUCCCACCGCUGCCACCACUGUAAUGGAACCGCUGGCACCCUGACCGGGUACCUUCCGCCGACGGAUGCUCCUAGUGCUUUCCGAGGACUCCAAGCACUCUGCCU